AUUGAACGCUGGCGGCAGGCCUAACACAUGCAAGUCGAACGAGUGGCGGACGGGUGAGUAAUGUCUGGGAAACUGCCCGAUGGAGGGGGAUAACUACUGGAAACGGUAGCUAAUACCGCAUACCAUCGGAUGUGCCCAGAUGGGAUUAGCUAGUAGGUGGGGUAACGGCUCACCUAGGCGACGAUCCCUAGCUGGUCUGAGAGGAUGACCAGACACAAUGGAAAUGAGACACGGUCCAGACUCCUACGGGAGGCAGCAGGGGGGAAUUGUGGACAAUGGGCGAAAGCCUGAUCGAGCCAUGCCGCGUGUAUGAAGAAGGCCUUCGGGUUGUAAAGUACUUUUAGCGGGGAGGCGUUACUCGCAGAAGAAGCACCGGCUAACUCCGUGCCAGCAGCCGCGGUAAUUC
RNAcentral lists this ribosomal RNA (406 nucleotides) under uncultured bacterium. RNAcentral describes it as "partial 16S ribosomal RNA". It matches the Rfam family "Bacterial small subunit ribosomal RNA", at positions 30 to 526 of the family's 1533-position model. The record is from RNAcentral.